ACCAGCAGAGGACCUGGUGAUGAGCUCCUCAUAUUACGAUCCCAUAGGUCUUUGCGAUCCUCCAUCAUUUGAAACCUCGCCACUUUAACGGUUAUCCGAUUGUUGUCUUAGCACGAGUUCAACAAGAAUUCUAGCCCUUUUAGCGUUCACAAUGCUUCCAAGAACCAGAAUCAUGAUUUGAUGUCUUAUCUGAGAUCUGUUAAACGACCUAGGUGAACUAUUUUACACUUUGCUGCUGGAAAUCGUUCUGCGCAAGUUUAAGUCAAGUCAAAGAAAAACUCGGCAAGAUGACAGCUGAGUACAACUUACUAAUAAGUUAUAAAGUUGAAUGCUUAUCUGCAUUUGAAAAUUCACAUGUAUAGCUAACCUCUAAGUUAAAUCAGCUUUUAAAUAUCACUUUUAUAAUUACUUUGGAGGUAUGCAGAAUGUAUAAAAACAUGCUGUUUUCGAAUGCAGCAGCUUGAUGUUACUGCAUAGCUGUACAUAGUAGAAGGCUCAUGAUACUUAUGUAUUUUGCAUACUAGUUAAAUAUAUGGUAAAUUUAUAUACAUACAAUAUUUGUAUAUAUACUUAAGUAUUUGUUUGAAGUUUGUGUAUUUUUCUGCUGGAAAUUAACCUGAAAAUAUUACACUGGGUCCUCAAUAAUAAUAACACUAUUCUCAUAUCAUAAGACAAUGUAUAGAGGAUAUUACAUAUGUUUGGAGAUACAGAUUUUAUCCUCAAGUGUUGAAAAGUUCUCUCAUGAGUCAGGGUAGCAAACAAGUGAGAGAUUGAUAAUCGUUAUCUGUAUGCAACCACGUAUAAUAUUCCGUUUAUCAUAUAAUUAUCCAUGAAAACAACUUGUAUACAAAGGGACUCUUAGGCCUAGGUUAUACAUCAAACUUNACAUAUGUCAAAUGCAACUCAANCAAUAGAUUAUCUAUCCUCUUUGAUGUAAUUGCAUUUGGUACAUUUGAGGUCAGACUUAUAACCUCGGCCUUAGUGUAGUACAUGUACAAUUAUAAUAGGAAAUCUAUCCAAGUACAUAAGAAUGUGGUCAAAUUUUCUUGUAAAUCCUCAUGUGCUAGCAUUUUUCAUUGUUUUUUUAUUGCUUUUUGAUACCCUAGAUGUAAUUUUAUUAUUGGCAUGUUGGUUUACACUGAGAUGAUAGUUUGUAUAUAUGUAGGGCUAGUGAAAAACAAUUAUAGAAUAGUUUAUGAUAAGGGAUCAGCUUUUCUUAGAGAAUAAUCAGGGAAAUGAUAAAAACUUUGUAUUUAAUACUUGUUGAAUUUGUAUAGUAUUACAAUAAAUACCAUUCAUUUCAA
Molecule: long non-coding RNA, 1304 nt
Filed under: Exaiptasia diaphana
Lineage: Eukaryota; Metazoa; Cnidaria; Anthozoa; Actiniaria; Aiptasiidae
Description: uncharacterized LOC114576290
Source: RNAcentral